This 849-nucleotide ribosomal RNA is filed under the name uncultured Neocallimastigales. RNAcentral's name for it is "partial large subunit ribosomal RNA". The stretch from base 14 to 722 matches the Rfam family "Eukaryotic large subunit ribosomal RNA", at positions 24 to 664 of the family's 3401-position model. Lineage: Eukaryota; Fungi; Neocallimastigomycota; Neocallimastigomycetes; Neocallimastigales. The record is from RNAcentral.
UAUGUGAUCGUCUCUCGCAUAUCAAUAAGCGGAGGAAAAGAAACUAACAAGGAUUCCCCUAGUAACGGCGAGUGAAGCGGGAAGAGCUCAAAUUUGGAAUCUUAAAGGGUUUCCCUUUACGAAUUGUAGUUUAAAGAAGUGUUUUCUGUUGAGGUUUUGGUAAAAGUUCUUUGGAAUAGGACAUCAUAGAGGGUGAGAAUCCCGUAUUUGACCUUUACUUUCAACUUUGUGAUACACUUUCAAAGAGUCGGAUUGUUUGGGAAUGCAGUCCAAAAUGGGUGGUAAAUUUCAUCUAAAGCUAAAUAUUGGCGAGAGACCGAUAGCGAACAAGUACCGUGAGGGAAAGAUGAAAAGAACUUUGAAAAGAGAGUUAAACAGUACGUGAAAUUGUCAAAAGGGAAGCGUUUGACACCAGUGUUGUUUUUCUGAAAAUCAAUUAAAGAACUGUUUAUGCUAAGCUGUUUAGACUUUAUCAGCUAUCUGUUUAGUUUUAGGCUUUUCUUUAAUGCACUUUUCAGUUAACAAGUCAACAUCAAUUUCUUUUGCUGUAAAAAAGCUUGAGGAAGGUGGCUUGAGAUUCGUCUUAAGUGUUUAUAGCCUCUUGCCUAUGCAGUCGGAGAGAUUGAGGUCUGCAGCGUAGAUCCCUCGGGGCUAAAUGCAUUUGUGCUAAGUUAUAGCAUUUUAUAGACAACUUGUUGACUAUGAUUUGUCUUGUAGCUUACUCGCUUAUGUUAUUUUACCUACGCUUAGGAUGUUGAUCUACAGAGCGAGAGUAGAGCAUAUCAAUAAGCGGAGGAAAAGUAAAUGCUGUAUACCUACGCUUAGGAUGUUGACACACGCGCGUGCUCG